This 85-nucleotide transfer RNA is filed under the name Thermoproteales archaeon. Its description in RNAcentral is "tRNA-Val". It matches the Rfam family "tRNA". From Rfam's summary of the family: Transfer RNA (tRNA) molecules are approximately 80 nucleotides in length. The record is from RNAcentral. Lineage: Archaea; Thermoproteati; Thermoproteota; Thermoprotei; Thermoproteales.
GGGCCCGUCGUCUAGUGGCUAGGGUCUCUGGCUAAGACGCCACCCUCACGAGGUGGAGGUCCGGGUUCGAUUCCCGGCGGGCCCA